Long non-coding RNA from Cryptotermes secundus, 538 nucleotides. RefSeq lists it as uncharacterized. Lineage: Eukaryota; Metazoa; Arthropoda; Insecta; Blattodea; Kalotermitidae. The record is from RefSeq and is a predicted model, not a curated record. The transcript has 4 exons.
CAGGAAUUGCCACAAUAGACAGCCGGGCGAGGUUUGAAGGGCCAGAACAUACCAACAGUUCACCUUUGAAACCAGGAUCCAGCGUGGCCUUGAGAAAUAGGCAGUGUCCAAAGGGUCGUACUAUUCUGACCUAUCGUAUCCCCGAUUUCACUAAAGUGAAGGCUAAAACGAACACUUUUAAUACACAGAAAUCGUGUGUUCAAAACAUCCAGGUUCCAUCUCAAGACGAACUACAAACAAGGAAUGACGAAGACAGUUCUCUUACUACUGACUCCUUAUGUGAAGGUGAAGGAAUUGCCACAAUAGACAGCCGGGCGAGGUUUGAAGGGCCAGAACAUACCAACAGUUCACCUUUGAAACCAGGAUCCAGCGUGGCCUUGAGAAAUAGGCAGUGUCCAAAGGGUCGUACUAUUUUGACCUAUCGUAUCCCCGACUUCACUAAAGUGAAGGCUAAAACGAACACAUUUAAUACACCGAAAUCGUGUGUUAAAAACAUCCAGGUUCCAUCUCAAGAUGAACUACAAAAAGGAAUGACGAA